RNAcentral lists this long non-coding RNA (1043 nucleotides) under Strigops habroptila (Kakapo). Its description in RNAcentral is "lncRNA (ENSSHBG00005009286.1)". The record is from RNAcentral. Lineage: Eukaryota; Metazoa; Chordata; Aves; Psittaciformes; Psittacidae.
AUGGUGUCUAAUUAGAAAGUGAUCUGCAAACUGUUAGUGGUGUGGUGGCGCUCUUGGAAUAAAGCAGACAUCCAGGACAAACGCCAGGAGAGGAGAGCCUGAUGACACACUCCCGCUUCUGAUGUGUCCAGCAUUGAAGUUUAGCUAGGAGGAUUCCUUGGGCUACUACUCUUUUCCCUUUCCACCCUGACCUGUUUUUUAUCUCACAGUUUACUGUCCCUACGGCUGUGCUUAUGUAGCCAUCCAUGGGACUACAGGGAGAAUCAGAUCGGUAGAAGGAUGCUUUAUCAUGCAUUGCUCAAGUUAGAAUUCUAAAAUAAUAUAUAUUCGAGAAGACACCUGAAGAUCAUCUGGUCCAAUUUCAUGCCUAACUUCAAAACUAGAGAAAGUUUCAAGUUUAGAUUGGGUUGUUCAGGAACUUGUCCGGUUGAAUUUUGAAAAUCUCCCAUCUUCCAUAACUUCUCUCAGGCUCUAUUCCAGUGACUGAACACUCAUUUGGAAGAAUUUUCUCCUUCUAUCUAGGAGAUAUCCCUGCUGUAACCUGUGUCUGUUGCUGGCCGUCUGCAUGCCUCUAAGAAGAGCCAUAGUCCGUUUUCUGCAUAACCACCCAUGAGGUCACUAAGACAGCCCCUGCAGCCUCUGCUCCAGGCUGAAUAAACACAACUCUCAGGCUCUGUCUGUAUGUUAAGUACUUCAGGACUGCAAGCAGUAGCUGGGUCUCUGUAGGAACCCAUCAGUAUCUUUCUUGAGCUUGGAUCCCACUCAAGCCUCCAAACAUGGAGGUGGUGAAUACAGACUAUAACCACUUCCUCAGCCCUUGAAGGAAGAUAGUCUUCAGCUGCACUGACAGAAAUGAAGGAGCAGUAAAACUCAGAUGUGUAGGGAUGCCCAGAAUAGACGUUUCCACUUAGACUUAAUUCAAAACUUAUUGAAAAAUAACAGAAUCUUUCCUGACUUCACCCAGAGUCAUUCAAAUCCUCACUGGGUCCAAAUCCUGCAUGCCCUAGGGCUAUUCUGCAUGAAUACAUUAAAUCAGAACAAAA